Molecule: long non-coding RNA, 1186 nt
Filed under: Mytilus galloprovincialis (Mediterranean mussel)
Lineage: Eukaryota; Metazoa; Mollusca; Bivalvia; Mytilida; Mytilidae
Source: RNAcentral
CCGGCAUUUUCAUCCAAAUGAAAAAAAAUACAGUCCCUGUAUAAUGAAUGUAUUAAAAAAAUUAAUACCUGUAUUAUGAAGAACCAAUAUGAUAUCAAGGAAAAGAAACUAAUGUUUAUGUAGUGGUCAAUUUAUAAAUUAUCAUAUGCUAACGUAUAAAACCAUAUCGGUGGUUUCGUGGCAGAGAGCUCACAUUGAGUGGUGCGGAGAUUUGUGUUUAACCGUAUACACUGUUUCGUCCGGCUUGUCCUCUUAGAACGCAAGGCCUGGAGCAAAAAAAAAUAUAUAAGGAGAUGAGGUAUGAUUGUCAAUGAGACAACUAUCUACCAAAGUUAAAAUAAGGCGGAUGUUAUCUAUAAUAGGCAACCGUAGGGCCUUUAACAAUGAGAAAAUAAAUAUCGUAUUGUCGUUUAAAAGGUCCCGACAUGAAAAACAAUUCAAUUAAGAAAACUAACGGCCUAAUGUUUACAAAGCAAGUCACGAAAAAUAAAUAUGACAGACAUAAACCAACGAAAAUCACUGAACUACAGGUUCCUGAAUUGGGACAGUCACAUACAGAAUGUGGCGGGGUUAACAUGUUUACUGGCACCAAACCCUCCCACUAAACUCGGACAGUGGUGUAACAGUACAACUAAUGUCAACAUAAGAACAAACGUUGAAAAGGGUUUAUCACUCAUUAGAUCGGUACAAAGUAGAAAAAACAUCUAACAAAACACAGACCGGAUGUGGCAGGGAAUUUAUACAUCCCUCACAACAAAAAAGACACAUAGUUCAGAUCUGAGAAUACUCUCAAAGGCUGUUGUCGGCUAUAAAUCAAAAUAAUUUGUACGGAUCAGAUGACACAAGCAUUUCCCCGGAUUGUAACCUUGUCAGCUAGCAAUUAAAAAUACGACUUUUUAUAACACAUUGUGUGUUUUAUUGUCUUGAAUGUUCAUGCAAUAUUUGUCGCUGGACAUUAAACAUAGCAUAGCCAACACCUUGGUUAUAUUGUAUAAAGUAAAAUAACAACAAUACCGAACACCAAGGACAAUUCAAAUCGGAAAGUCCCUUAACAAAUGGCAAAAUCGGAAAGUCCCUUAUCAAAUGGCAAAAUCGGAAAGUCCCUUAUCAAAUGGCAAAAUCGGAAAGUCCCUUAUCAAAUGGCAAAAUCAAAAGCUCAAACACAUCAAUAAACGAGACAGUUCAG